AGUGAACGCUGGCGGUAGGCCUAACACAUGCAAGUCGAACGGCAGCACAGUAAGAGCUUGCUCUUACGGGUGGCGAGUGGCGGACGGGUGAGGAAUACAUCGGAAUCUACUUUUUCGUGGGGGAUAACGUAGGGAAACUUACGCUAAUACCGCAUACGACCUACGGGUGAAAGCAGGGGAUCUUCGGACCUUGCGCGAUUGAAUGAGCCGAUGUCGGAUUAGCUAGUUGGCGGGGUAAAGGCCCACCAAGGCGACGAUCCGUAGCUGGUCUGAGAGGAUGAUGAGCCACGAUGGAAGCAGGAGACGGGACAGACACGGAAGGGGGUCAGCAGUGGGGAAGAGGGAAGAGCGGGCGCGAGCAUGAGCCAGCGACGGCGCGUUGGUGAAGAAGGACGUGGGUGUGUAACGGUCUUUUGUGGAGAAAGAGAAAGAACAGUGUAAUACCGCGCUGUGCUGCCGGUACCAAAAGAAGAAGCACCGGCUACCGUCGUGACAGAAGCGGCGGUAAUACACGGAAGGGCACACGUCUGAAC
Molecule: ribosomal RNA, 533 nt
Filed under: uncultured bacterium
Lineage: Bacteria
Description: partial 16S ribosomal RNA
Rfam family: Bacterial small subunit ribosomal RNA
Source: RNAcentral